RNAcentral lists this unclassified non-coding RNA (4403 nucleotides) under Octopus sinensis (East Asian common octopus). RNAcentral describes it as "ribose-phosphate pyrophosphokinase 1, transcript variant X3". The record is from RNAcentral. Lineage: Eukaryota; Metazoa; Mollusca; Cephalopoda; Octopoda; Octopodidae.
GUAGCUUUUCGAUAAUAUCCGGGAAUUGCCAUUUGAUGAAUAUAUUGGUCUUCUCUAGACUCCCGGAACUUCCGGAAUAUUAAUAGGAAAUAGAGAUGAUCUAAUAGCUAAAGUCUUCUGUUGCAUUAACUGAGACAGCGCUUCUGUUCGGGGGGAACUGUUAAGCUACGAACCCAUUCAGAAGAGGCUGAAAUUAGAUGCCGGGCACGUCUAAACUAAAAGACAGGAAAUCAUCCAGCAGUGGUUCCGAAAUUCGAAACAUGCCGAAUAUCAAAGUCUUCAGCGGAACUUCGCAUUCCGAUCUAACCAGGAAAGUCUGCGACCGACUCGGUAUUGAUAAAGGAAAGGUUGUCACAACGAAAUUCAGCAAUGGAGAAACUUGUGUGGAGAUAGGAGAGUCUGUACGUGGUGAAGAUGUCUACAUCGUACAGAGUGGAUGUGGAGAAGUCAACGACAUGUUGAUGGAAUUAUUAAUCAUGAUCAAUGCUUGCAAGAUUGCUUCUGCUUGUAGAGUAACUGCUGUCAUACCAUGUUUUCCAUAUGCUCGCCAAGAUAAGAAAGACAAAAGCAGGGCCCCUAUAUCUGCAAAACUUGUUGCUAACAUGCUCUCUGUUGCUGGAGCUGAUCACAUCAUCACAAUGGAUCUGCAUGCUUCUCAGAUUCAGGGAUUUUUUGAUAUACCAGUUGACAAUUUGUAUGCUGAACCUGCUGUGUUGAAAUGGAUCAAAAGUAACAUUCCUGAAUGGAGGAACUGCACAAUAGUUUCCCCUGAUGCUGGUGGUGCAAAACGUGUUACAUCCAUAGCUGAUUGGUUGAAUGUUGAUUUUGCCCUGAUUCAUAAAGAAAGGAAAAAAGCUAAUGAAGUUGCUUCAAUGGUUCUUGUUGGAGAUGUCAAAGACAAAAUUGCUAUUUUGGUAGACGACAUGGCAGACACUUGUGGCACUAUUUGUCAUGCUGCUGGAAAGUUGCUUGAAGCUGGCGCAGUUAAGGUGUAUGCUAUUUGCACUCAUGGUAUUUUCUCUGGCCCAGCCAUUUCAAGAAUUAACAGUUCUCAGUUUGAGGCAGUUGUGGUUACUAACACAAUACCACAAGAUGAAAGGAUGAAACAAGCACCAAAAAUUCAGUGUAUUGAUAUAUCGAUGAUUUUAGCUGAGGCUGUACGGCGUACUCACAACGGAGAGUCUGUAUCUUACCUGUUUUCCAAUGUGCCAAUGUAGAUGCUGUUGCCAGUUGAUUGACACUUUUAUAAUGCAGGUUCUUAUAAAAGAAACAAAGAAUAUCUUCAAAGAAAACAUGCAUGUGUAUUGAUAUAUCAAUGAUGCUUGCCGAAGCCAUCAGGCGGACACACAAUGGCGAGUCUGUCUCCUAUUUAUUCAGCCAUGUUCCUCUCUAACUGCUGCUACCUUCCUUGCAAAAUUUAGUACCUUUUCAAAAUUACUUUUGUCAUUAUUUUCCCCUAUACCAUGUAUCAGAGCAAUACUUUUUCAUGAUUUUUUUUUUUUUUUUAAGAAAAGGGAAGAAAAAAAAAGGGAAAUCACUACUUAGUUUUAGAGUGAAAUCUCAUUUUCUCUCCCUGUUUGCAUUGUAUAUUUAUCUAUUUCUUUAUCAUUAUUCCAUUUUUUUUUUAGCUUUUUCCGUAAAGUAAUGAAAAUGAAAUAUAAAUAUACAACACAGAUAGAGAGAUAAUAGAAAUUAAAUUUAUUGGGUGUGUUGAAAACGUGUUACAUAAAAUGGAGUGUUUGAGAAAACUGUAGGGAGGUUAAACUCUUUUUCCUUUAAUUCUCAUUAGUUGUUUGAAUUGUGUUAUAUUUCUCAUAUAUAUAUAUAUACAUAUAUAUAUAGUAUAAUUUUAGGUUUAGCGAACAGUUUAGGUGAAAUAGAUAUAUAAUAUCUCAGAAUUCUCUUGUGUUCAACAAUGAACGGUUUUGUUUAGAUAUAUAAUCAAAAUGGUUGAGAUUUUAUAGUUUUUUUGUUGUUUUUUUUUUUCUUGGCCAUUUUGAAAAGUUUAAUAUAUUUACUCAUUUGUUAGUCUAGCGUUAGUGCAUGUAAUGUGUAAUAUGUUUAUAUAUUAUAUUAUAAUUCAUAUAAGGAUGGUGGACUGGCUGGAUUGUUAGAGCAUCGGGCAUAUAAUAUUAAUGUCUUGCAGUGUUUGUCCUGCUCUUUGCAUUCUGAGUUCAAAUCCUGUCGAGGUCAACUUUGACUCUCUCACCUGCUAAAUCAGAAAGUACCAAUCAAGUUCAAGGGGUUGAUAUAAUGGACUGGACUGUUUCCUCCCUCCUCUCCUAAAACGUUAGAAACAAUUAUAUAAAUAUUCCUUUAUAGUGUCUAAACUUCUGUAAACAAGAGUAAUCAUUACACCUAUAUAGACACUAAUUUGACUUUGAAAAAAAGAAACAAGAAAUUCACAUUGCUUGAAUCAUGUCUAUCAUUAUUUGCUGGUCAAUGACAGUAACAAUUACACUAACUUGAGUGUGUGUCCUUUUCUCUCACGACAAAUAUAGCAUAGAAAUGUUCAACCUUUUGUUUUUUAACUGAAUUUAUACAUGCAUAUUGAUAAUUCUUGGUCCCAACUUUGAUCAACAGCUUGCUAUACUAGAUACUGGUAGAAAUGGCUUAAUCUGUAAAAAUGACUUAAUUUGUAGGUGCUAGAUGGCUGAUGAGUGAUGUUAGUCUAAGUAAAAUAUUUCCUUGUCACAUUCUAGAUAACAUAACAAAAAUGGAAGCACAACCUCAGUAGUGUGGUAUAUAUUCAGUCAGUUGCAUGUCGGUAUGGCAAAUACUGAAUUACUUGAUUCAAGUCCUGUUGGUAGUGUGUUCCUCUGCUUAACCUCAAAUUGUUGUAUAGAUGGGUAUAAUGUUUAGAUUUUAAGAUAUCUCUGCAGUUCUUUGGCAUUAUUUGUAAUACAAAAUCCUUAGGAAUGUCUGUCAUGAACUUUUAGCAUUGGAUGCUUUUUAUAGCCUUGCGUUUCAAUAUAUGAUUUAAUAAAGCAGAGGUAAAGCAAUGUAUUCACAUGAUGUACUUUGACUGCUGCUACAUGAGACUCCAAAUGCCCUCUGUCAUCUCAAAAGAUGAAGUUACUCUUUAUAAGAGUUUAUAAGAGUUCAAGGAGUUCAGCUUGUAAUCACACGGGUGUUAAUGUCUAUCAUCACAACAAUCGCAAAAUAAUUCUCUAAUAAGUCUCAGUAUAUCUGGUUGAAAGUGGUAGCUUUUAAAUGUAGUAACUUUUUAACUUUUACUUAACAUUGAGCUUUUUUUCUUGUACUAACAAUGUCAUAUUGUUUUCAUAGCUGGUAUUCUGGCUGUUUGAGAGCAAAAGACAUUCUGGUUUCUGCUGGUGAAAAUUUAAAUGAGACAUGAUGAUAGGUCAAUAGAAUAUAAGAUAAAACACUUUGAUGGCUAAUAUGUAGGAUUUUCUUCACAAUGCAUUGACCACCAUCACAUCAAAACAAAGAUGAGAGGGCAUGAUCCAGCUAUUGUUAAUUACCUCUUUGGGCUGGCAAUAUACAUUGUUCCAACAAGUUGUAAAGUAGUUUCCAUAGCCAUUAAUUUAGUUGAUACAGGAACUACCAUUAGCUGUAUUCACACAACAGUUCAUGAACAAAUAUACAAAAUAAAAAUUCAGGGUGGUUGGGGUGGAAGAAUACAUUUAUACAUCUGUUAUAUUGACAGUUCUUAUUGCGUUCAGAAUGAUUGAAUUUUUCUGGAAAUAUUCCUAUCACUCAUACACACACACACACACAAAUAUUUUGAACUUUCCCCUUUUCUUUUUGUCAUCAAAAAAUAAAUGCAUCAUAUUUUCUCACCACAACUUGAUGUGAUAAAUCCGUACAUAAAUACACAGUAAUUGAUAUUACAUUUAAUAUACACACUGUUGCAUUUUAACAAUUUUUACAAAAUUAUCUACCUCUUAGCAAUCAUACACAUAAAUGCUCUUACACACAAACACAUAAAGCUCAAACAAUAUUUUCUUUGUUAAUCUGCCUGGCUGGCUUGUAAUACUGUUAUCAAAGAUUUUUUUAAAAUCUGUGGAAGCCAAAAUUUGUGAGUGACUUUGAAUAUUUAUAAUAGAAUCUGAGGUUGACUUUGUGAGUUAUCCUCUUCCUAUUCUUUAAACUUGUUUGAGAAAGUUCCAACUAAAGUUAUCACAUUCAUCUGUUCUGUUCCUUUUACCUAUUUUUGAAAGAAUAUUUAACAACAAAUUUAAUUUUGAACAAAAUUAAGUAUUGGUCAACAAUCUACAACAAUAAUAUUGAAGGAUGUUGCUUAUGAUAGGGAGUCUCUGCAGGUUUUUUUUUUUAUUAUUGCUAUCAUCCUCCAAAUAUAUUUGUGGAGAAGCACAUAUUAAUCAAAUACAUUAUGAAUAAAGGAAACAAAAAAAAAACCAACAGUAAUACACUGGGGG